This 525-nucleotide ribosomal RNA is filed under the name Salmonella enterica. Its description in RNAcentral is "partial 23S ribosomal RNA". It matches the Rfam family "Bacterial large subunit ribosomal RNA", at positions 689 to 1212 of the family's 2925-position model. Lineage: Bacteria; Pseudomonadati; Pseudomonadota; Gammaproteobacteria; Enterobacterales; Enterobacteriaceae. The record is from RNAcentral. RNAcentral also lists the same sequence under 1 other name.
UGGGCGUUAAGUUGCAGGGUAUAGACCCGAAACCCGGUGAUCUAGCCAUGGGCAGGUUGAAGGUUGGGUAACACUAACUGGAGGACCGAACCGACUAAUGUUGAAAAAUUAGCGGAUGACCUGUGGCUGGGGGUGAAAGGCCAAUCAAACCGGGAGAUAGCUGGUUCUCCCCGAAAGCUAUUUAGGUAGCGCCUCGUGAAUUCAUCUCCGGGGGUAGAGCACUGUUUCGGCUAGGGGGCCAUCCCGGCUUACCAACCCGAUGCAAACUGCGAAUACCGGAGAAUGUUAUCACGGGAGACACACGGCGGGUGCUAACGUCCGUCGUGAAGAGGGAAACAACCCAGACCGCCAGCUAAGGUCCCAAAGUCAUGGUUAAGUGGGAAACGAUGUGGGAAGGCCCAGACAGCCAGGAUGUUGGCUUAGAAGCAGCCAUCAUUUAAAGAAAGCGUAAUAGCUCACUGGUCGAGUCGGCCUGCGCGGAAGAUGUAACGGGGCUAAACCAUGCACCGAAGCUGCGGCAGCGAC